Non-coding RNA from Phrynosoma platyrhinos (Desert horned lizard), 71 nucleotides. The record is from the annotation of a GenBank genome assembly. NCBI's taxonomy places the organism in Eukaryota, Metazoa, Chordata, Lepidosauria, Squamata, Phrynosomatidae.
UUAGAGGUGGCAGAGUGGUUUGAGACUGGACUAGGACUCUGGAGACCAGGGUUCAAAUCCCUGCUCAGACA